This is a non-coding RNA of Caenorhabditis elegans, 21 nucleotides long. The record is from Ensembl. NCBI's taxonomy places the organism in Eukaryota, Metazoa, Nematoda, Chromadorea, Rhabditida, Rhabditidae.
AUCAGUCUUUUCAAUCUGUUC